CCUACGGGGGGCUGCAGUGGGGAAUUUUGGACAAUGGGCGCAAGCCUGAUCCAGCCAUGCCGCGUGCAGGAUGAAGGCCCUCGGGUUGUAAACUGCUUUUGUACGGAACGAAAAGCCUCUCUCGAAUAAAGAGGGGUGAUGACGGUACCGUAAGAAUAAGCACCGGCUAACUACGUGCCAGCAGCCGCGGUAAUACGUAGGGUGCGAGCGUUAAUCGGAAUUACUGGGGCGAUCUCGUGCGCCAGUGGUGAAAUCCCCGGGCUCAACCUGGGAACGGCCAUUGUGACUGCAAGGCUGGAGUACGGCAGAGGGGGGUGGAAUUCCGCGUGUAGCAGUGAAAUGCGUAGAUAUGCGGAGGAACACCGAUGGCGAAGGCAGCCCCCUGGGCCUGUACUGACGCUCAUGCACGAAAGCGUGGGGAGCAAACAGGAUUAGAUACCCUAGUAGUC
This 449-nucleotide ribosomal RNA is filed under the name uncultured bacterium. RNAcentral describes it as "partial 16S ribosomal RNA". It matches the Rfam family "Bacterial small subunit ribosomal RNA", at positions 338 to 795 of the family's 1533-position model. The record is from RNAcentral.